GGGCGUUUGGUUUAGUGGUAUAAUGCCUCAUUCGCACCGCACUACCACCCAAAAAUGGCUGGUUUUUGCUAGAAUUGAGGAGGUCGCGCGUUCGAUUCGCGCAUCGUCCA
Non-coding RNA from Arachnomyces sp. PD_36, 110 nucleotides. The record is from the annotation of a GenBank genome assembly. Lineage: Eukaryota; Fungi; Ascomycota; Eurotiomycetes; Onygenales; Arachnomycetaceae.